RNAcentral lists this ribosomal RNA (301 nucleotides) under uncultured bacterium. RNAcentral describes it as "partial 16S ribosomal RNA". It matches the Rfam family "Bacterial small subunit ribosomal RNA", at positions 509 to 807 of the family's 1533-position model. The record is from RNAcentral.
CAGCCGCCGCGGGAAUACGUAGGGUGCAAGCGUUAAUCGGAAUUACUGGGCGUAAAGCGUGCGCAGGCGGUUAUAUAAGACAGAUGUGAAAUCCCCGGGCUCAACCUGGGAACUGCAUUUGUGACUGUAUAGCUAGAGUACGGCAGAGGGGGAUGGAAUUCCGCGUGUAGCAGUGAAAUGCGUAGAUAUGCGGAGGAACACCGAUGGCGAAAGCAAUCCCCUGGGCCUGUACUGACGCUCAUGCACGAAAGCGUGGGGAGCAAACAGGAUUAGAUACCCCUGUAGUCCCUGUCUCUUAUAC